AGUGGAGCAGGGCAGCAGCUACUCACGCUAGAGCGGCGGGCAGCAGGUCUGCCAGCAACAGCGACGGCAGGCUGUAGCGAAGGCGGUCUCCGGACGGCGACCAGCCCACGUCGCAGGAAAUGGCUGUUGCGUCGCACUCGUACCUGUAGCACAACACACGGUGAACGAGAUUGCCUUCAGCGGAAAUAGCUUUGGAAGCUCAUCGUUGAUAUAAUCUGGUGCCUUGUCAAGUCCAUUUCGGUGAAGGUGUACUGACAAAAAUUAGAGCUUUGACAGUCAGUUAAUGCGGAACGACAAAGUGAUUUCGAGGACAAAUCUUCCAGGUCAAGUUUUCCUUUGAAAAUCCAAGAAAAUAUGGAGACUGUGACACAAAAUGAGAAAGAGUUACAGGAUGGUGAGGAGACUCGUGUAGCGUUGCACUCAAAGCAUAAGAGUCUCCGUCCAGCCAAAGAACUGAAUUCUCAGGCGAACAGCAACCACUUCUGCAAUGGAGAAGCUGACACGUCCCCACAGUGCAACGGUGUGGAGCCUGUGUGCGAUUGGAGCGAGGGGGAGGAGGAGGACCUGGAGGACACGGAGC
This is a long non-coding RNA of Schistocerca nitens (vagrant locust), 580 nucleotides long. RefSeq lists it as uncharacterized. The transcript is spliced from 3 exons. Lineage: Eukaryota; Metazoa; Arthropoda; Insecta; Orthoptera; Acrididae. The record is from RefSeq and is a predicted model, not a curated record.